Molecule: ribosomal RNA, 492 nt
Filed under: uncultured bacterium
Lineage: Bacteria
Description: partial 16S ribosomal RNA
Rfam family: Bacterial small subunit ribosomal RNA
Source: RNAcentral
AGUGAACGCUGGCGGUAGGCCUAACACAUGCAAGUCGAACGGCAGCACAGUAAGAGCUUGCUCUUACGGGUGGCGAGUGGCGGACGGGUGAGGAAUACAUCGGAAUCUACUUUUUCGUGGGGGAUAACGUAGGGAAACUUACGCUAAUACCGCAUACGACCUACGGGUGAAAGCAGGGGAUCUUCGGACCUUGCGCGAUUGAAUGAGCCGAUGUCGGAUUAGCUAGUUGGCGGGGUAAAGGCCCACCAAGGCGACGAUCCGUAGCUGGUCUGAGAGGAUGAUCAGCCACACUGGAACUGAGACACGGUCCAGACUCCUACGGGAGGAAGCAGUGGGGAAUAUUGGACGAUGGGCGAAAGCCUGAUCCAGCCAUACCGCGUGGGUGAAGAAGGCCUUCGGGUUGUAAAGCCCUUUUGUUGGGAAAGAAAAGCAGCAGGUUAAUACCCCGCUGUUAUGACGGUACCCAAAGAAUAAGCACCGGCUAACUUCGUG